Molecule: RNA transcript, 2663 nt
Organism: Solenopsis invicta (red fire ant)
Lineage: Eukaryota; Metazoa; Arthropoda; Insecta; Hymenoptera; Formicidae
Exons: 7
Source: RefSeq, a predicted model, not a curated record
AGUGGAUAGCCUUGAAUUCUCCUAGUCGCCACUACGUUUGCUCAGUGUAGUUGUGUAUAUAUAUUCGAGAGAAUCUUGGAACAUCUUUCUCAGAUUUACAAGUACUCGCUUAUUAUAAACACGUGUGUGAUACUUCUAUUCCUCUUUUGUCUUUUUUUUUUUACUAAGAGCGGACAGCGUAUUGCUAAUAAACCCACUUGGUUUAAUCCAAUAGUAAAAGAUGAAGUACUUGUACGUAGGUUUUAUGUUUUUCGUAUAUAACUAUUAUAUAAUAUGGGGUCAAAACUUAACAUUUCUAACUAACGAAGAGACUGCUCACGUCAGCGAUGAUAACUCUACGGUGACGGAGCGUAUACCCAUCGUAUUCCCAAAUAAACGAGAUCGUUGCCCAAAAGGUAUGAUGCUCUACCCAAGCAAUAAUGAGAAGAAUGAAUCGGUUUGCAAUUGUAAACCUGGGUACUUGUCAUUGAACGAUUCCUGCCAUGAAGCUUACAGACAAGGUCCAUGUCCACUCAACAAUUACGUCGUUCUUUCCGAAGAGACGGUUCCUCAUUGCGUAGAAAAUCCUUGCUUGCAAGAUAGCAUGGUGCAGUAUAACGACAAGUGCUAUUAUCUUAGAAUGAAGGGACCAUGUGCGUCCGAUGAGAUAUUAGAUGUGAUUGAAAAUACCUUUCAAUUGGAAUGUAUAAAAAGUUUUCGAGAAAAUGGUUUAAUCGAAAUUAACCCUCCCUUAAUAAAAUGUCCACCAGGCAGCCAAAGGAGUCUUAUAUCUGGAAGAUGCUUACACCUUAUACUGCAUAAAGAACAUCAGGCUGCAUUAGGAGAAUAGAGGAGAAGGAGGUAUUAUGGCUAAUGUGGACAUUUCGGCUAGUCGUAUUAUCUCGUAUUAUCAUUAUUAGCUACUCUGGUCUGGUCUAAUAGUAAAAGAUGAAGUGUUUGUUUGUCGGUUUUAUGUUUUUGGUAUAUAACUAUUAUGUAAUAUGUGGUCAGAACUUGAUAUUGCCAUCUAACAAAGAGAUUGCUCAUGUCAGCGGCGAUAACUCUACGAUAAUGGCACAGCGUAUUCCAAUCUUAUUCCGAUAUAGACGAGUUAUUGUUGAUAAUCCCUCAGUAAUUAUCCCUCAAUUAAACAAAUGUCCACCAGGCAGCCGUCGGAGUACACUUGGAAAAUGCAUAAAAGUUACACAGCGUAAAAUGCAGCGUAAUCACGUUGCAUUAGGAAAAUAGAGAAGAAGGUAUUAUAGCUACUGUGGACAUUACAGCUACUCCUUCUUAUCUCUAUUAUUAGGUGACGGAUUUUAACGAUUCCUUAUAGAAUUAUUUGUUCACCGUUUUUUAGUGAAGCUAAUAUGCGCCAAUAUGAAAUAGCUGAUAAUUGUUAUAAAGCAUUUUUACUUUUGAGCACUUCUAAAUUUUUACAGGUACACUUUAGCGUCUAGUUACACAUAGUUUUUCAUUGUUCUUAAAUUUGAGCGUAUAUUACACGAAUGUAUGUAUACUCAAGUAUUUUUGUGUUAUUUAUCAUUUUAUUCGGUUGUACACAUUUCAAGUUAAACAAGAACAUGAGAUUUUGUUAAUAUGGUUUUUUAAGUGAAAUUUUAUGUCAAAAUAUUUCUUUGAUAAAUUGAUUAUUACUCUAGAGACGGCGUCUCUUUGUUUGGCACUCUACUGUGAUUUAUAGAGAAAUUCGUCCAUCUUUCAAGAAACAGCAAUUUACAUUAUAAAACUUGAUAUGAUAACUUCGUGUUGUUGUUCCUUGAAUUUCUUGAGAAAGAUGAAGAAAUUUCCCGAAUGAUUACUACAAAGUGGUAAACAAGUGUUUCUUUAAUAAACUCUUAUCACUGAUUUUACAAUCAGUCUAUUAUUUAUUCGGUUAAGAAAAAAAUGUUCUUCUUUUAAGAAACUAUAACUCUGUACCUUGGUGCUACAAGGACCAAUGUCCAAAUUUUCGAAUUAUCUGAAAUUUAUAAUUUAUUUUUUAUAUUUUUAAAACGGCAAGUAAAUUUGUAUGUAAAUUGUGUUCUUUAUAUUUUAGUUAUUAAUGUAAUGUUUUUUAUUGAUAUUUUAACAGUGUUAAUGAGUGCUGAGUAAACGAGGCCCAUGUGCACAUUAGCUGUUCUUGCACAAAGGUUAAAAUGAGAUUGGCUUCCAUACAAUUAUUAUUUAAAUGUGUUCAAAAUGUAUAGAAGGACAUAGGCCCUUUUUACAAUAAUAGUGGCUCUCAUUUGAAUUCAUUAAUAUAUAUAACUCGAAUUUGGCAAUUUUGGACAUUGGCUCUUUUAGUACCAAGACAUAGAACUUAUCUUUUACUUGGAUCACAUUCCAAACAUCCUCUCCGAGGAAAAGUUUAGCUGAUUUAAUAUAAUAUACGUUAGGUGCCUAUUAUACGUACAUAUUUUGAAUAAAAUCUUUCUCGGAAAAUACGCUUUAGAACUUAACCUGCCGGGAAAAAAUUUUUUGUGUAUAAUUUAUAUAUGAAAAAUUUUUUCUCGUGUUCGAUCUAUUUUACUCGUUCGAAACAUACACACACACUUGCAAUUUUAAGUAGAUUUUAGAAUAGAUAUUAUUCUAACGUAAGAAAAACAUUAACGCAACAUUAUUGAAAUGUUAUUUUGUUGAUUAAAAAUAAAUAUUGUUCUAAUGUUAGAAAAAUAUUAAUGCAA